This 492-nucleotide ribosomal RNA is filed under the name uncultured bacterium. RNAcentral's name for it is "partial 16S ribosomal RNA". It matches the Rfam family "Bacterial small subunit ribosomal RNA", at positions 29 to 507 of the family's 1533-position model. The record is from RNAcentral.
AGUGAACGCUGGCGGUAGGCCUAACACAUGCAAGUCGAACGGCAGCACAGUAAGAGCUUGCUCUUACGGGUGGCGAGUGGCGGACGGGUGAGGAAUACAUCGGAAUCUACUUUUUCGUGGGGGAUAACGUAGGGAAACUUACGCUAAUACCGCAUACUACCUACGGGUGAAAGCAGGGGAUCUUCGGACCUUGCGCGAUUGAAUGAGCCGAUGUCGGAUUAGCUAGUUGGCGGGGUAAAGGCCCACCAAGGCGACGAUCCGUAGCUGGUCUGAGAGGAUGAUCAGCCACACUGGAACUGAGACACGGUCCAGACUCCUACGGGAGGCAGCAGUGGGGAAUAUUGGGCAAUGGGCGAAAGCCUGAUCCAGCAAUACCGCGUGGGUGAAGAAGGCCUUCGGGUUGUAAAGCCCUUUUGUUGGGAAAGAAAAGCAGCAGGUUAAUACGCCGAUGUUCUGACGGUACCCAAAGAAUAAGCACCGGCUAACUUCGUG